CCUCCGGGUGGCUGCAGUGGGGAAUAUUGCACAAUGGGCGCAAGCCUGAUGCAGCCAUGCCGCGUGUAUGAAGAAGGCCUUCGGGUUGUAAAGUACUUUCAGUCGUGAGGAAGGUGUUAAGGUUAAUAACCUUAGCAAUUGACGUUAGCGACAGAAGAAGCACCGGCUAACUCCGUGCCAGCAGCCGAGGUAAUAGGGAGGGUGCGAGCGUUAAUCGGAAUUACUGGGCGUAAAGGGCACGCAGGCGGUUAAUUAAGUUGGGUGUUACAUCCCCGGGCGUAACCUGGGAAUGGCAGUCAAGACUGGUUAGCUAGAGUCUUGUAGAGGGGGGUAGAAUUCCAUGUGUAGCGGUGAAAUGCGUCGAGAUGUGGAGGAAUUACGGUGGCGAAGGCGGCCCCCUGGACAAAGACUGACGCUCAUGGGCGAAAGCGUGGGCAGCAAACAGGAUUAGAUACCCCUGUAGGC
RNAcentral lists this ribosomal RNA (465 nucleotides) under uncultured Arsenophonus sp. RNAcentral describes it as "bacterial SSU rRNA". It matches the Rfam family "Bacterial small subunit ribosomal RNA", at positions 338 to 795 of the family's 1533-position model. Lineage: Bacteria; Pseudomonadati; Pseudomonadota; Gammaproteobacteria; Enterobacterales; Morganellaceae. The record is from RNAcentral.